RNAcentral lists this ribosomal RNA (362 nucleotides) under Salmonella enterica. RNAcentral's name for it is "bacterial SSU rRNA". It matches the Rfam family "Bacterial small subunit ribosomal RNA", at positions 352 to 706 of the family's 1533-position model. Lineage: Bacteria; Pseudomonadati; Pseudomonadota; Gammaproteobacteria; Enterobacterales; Enterobacteriaceae. The record is from RNAcentral. RNAcentral also lists the same sequence under 1 other name.
CAGUGGGGAAUAUUGCACAAUGGGCGCAAGCCUGAUGCAGCCAUGCCGCGUGUAUGAAGAAGGCCUUCGGGUUGUAAAGUACUUUCAGCGGGGAGGAAGGUGUUGUGGUUAAUAACCGCAGCAAUUGACGUUACCCGCAGAAGAAGCACCGGCUAACUCCGUGCCAGCAGCCGCGGUAAUACGGAGGGUGCAAGCGUUAAUCGGAAUUACUGGGCGUAAAGCGCACGCAGGCGGUCUGUCAAGUCGGAUGUGAAAUCCCCGGGCUCAACCUGGGAACUGCAUUCGAAACUGGCAGGCUUGAGUCUUGUAGAGGGGGGUAGAAUUCCAGGUGUAGCGGUGAAAUGCGUAGAGAUCUGGAGGAA